GACGAACGCUGGCGGCGUGCCUAAUACAUGCAAGUCGAACGCUUCUUUCCUCCCGAGUGCUUGCACUCAAUUGGAAAGAGGAGUGGCGGACGGGUGAGUAACACGUGGGUAACCUACCCAUCAGAGGGGGAUAACACUUGGAAACAGGUGCUAAUACCGCAUAACAGUUUAUGCCGCAUGGCAUAGGAGUGAAAGGCGCUUUCGGGUGUCGCUGAUGGAUGGACCCGCGGUGCAUUAGCUAGUAGGUGAGGUAACGGCUCACCAAGGCCACGAUGCAUAGCCGACCUGAGAGGGUGAUCGGCCACACUGGGACUGAGACACGGCCCAGACUCCUACGGGAGGCAGCAGUAGGGAAUCUUCGGCAAUGGACGAAAGUCUGACCGAGCAACGCCGCGUGAGUGAAGAAGGUUUUCGGAUCGUAAAACUCUGUUGUUAGAGAAGAACAAGGACGUUAGUAACUGAACGUCCCCUGACGGUAUCUAACCAGAAAGCCACGGCUAACUACGUG
Molecule: ribosomal RNA, 508 nt
Filed under: uncultured bacterium
Lineage: Bacteria
Description: partial 16S ribosomal RNA
Rfam family: Bacterial small subunit ribosomal RNA
Source: RNAcentral